RNAcentral lists this unclassified non-coding RNA (501 nucleotides) under Hevea brasiliensis (rubber tree). Lineage: Eukaryota; Viridiplantae; Streptophyta; Magnoliopsida; Malpighiales; Euphorbiaceae. The record is from RNAcentral.
AUGAGAUCCACAAGACUUCUAUGGAGAGGGAGACACUGAAGUUUGAGCUGUUGAGUGCUCGAGCCAUGAUUAGUAUCCUUCAAUCCCGGAUUGUUGUGUUGAAUAAGGAAAUUAAUGAUUUGAAGUCGAACUAUGAUUAGUAUCAUCUUUCAAUCCGGGAUUAUCAUGCUGAAUAAGGAGACCGUAAUGAUAAUGAAGAAAAAUGUCGACAGCCAAUGGCUAUGCCCUGUAAAUUGUUGCUACCAUUUUGCUCUCUUGUACUUUAUCGGCGUUCGAAUCCGGGCCGUUGUAGUAGCUAAUGUAACUAGUUCAGUUGUCUAAGCAACUAAGCUAUCUGUUGUAAGAGUAUCAAAUUAGUCAAGCUUAUAAAUGUGUAAGAACUUCAGCCUCUGUUGUGAAACCAUGUUAGAACUUCAUGUUGUGCUAUGGCUAAAGACUAUUGAUGUAGUAACUUCAAUUUCUCAGCUGCUGGCAUUUCAUGAAAUAAGGUUGUCAUAACUA